GGGAGUGACUGGGUCCUGGUGGGCCCCGCGGGCUUCAAACCCGUUGUUGGGCGGUAAAACCGUCCAUGGUAGGUUCGAUUCCUAUUCACUCCC
Molecule: transfer RNA, 93 nt
Filed under: Carboxydothermus hydrogenoformans Z-2901
Lineage: Bacteria; Bacillati; Bacillota; Clostridia; Thermoanaerobacterales; Thermoanaerobacteraceae
Description: Selenocysteine transfer RNA
Rfam family: Selenocysteine transfer RNA
Source: Rfam by way of RNAcentral